This is a non-coding RNA of Urocitellus parryii (Arctic ground squirrel), 363 nucleotides long. Lineage: Eukaryota; Metazoa; Chordata; Mammalia; Rodentia; Sciuridae. The record is from the annotation of a RefSeq genome assembly.
AUGGCCUGGAYGAUGGUUCUACUGGUGUUCCUCUCUUAUGGUUCAGUGGUGGAUUGUCAGACGACUGUGAUCCAGGAGCCCUCACUCUCUGUGUCUCCAGGUGGRACGGUGACACUCACCUGUGGGCAUAGAUCUGGGUCAGUCUCUACAGGUCACUACCCAGGCUGGUACCAGCAGAAUCCAGGACUUGCUCCUCGCCCACUUAUCUAUAGCACAAACAACCGCCCCUCUGGAGUCCCUGAUGGAUUCUCUGGUUCCAUCCUUGGAAACAAAGCUGCCCACACCAUCACAGGGGCUCUGACUGAUGAKGCUGAUUAUUACUGCUCACUCUAUAUGGGUAGUGAUAUCCACAAAGUGACCUAA